This 1113-nucleotide long non-coding RNA is filed under the name Homo sapiens (human). RNAcentral describes it as "non-protein coding lnc-WDFY1-4:1". The record is from RNAcentral. Lineage: Eukaryota; Metazoa; Chordata; Mammalia; Primates; Hominidae.
CCUCUCUUCGAGUUACUUUCCAAUGAUCCGGACUUGAGGGCGUUUGCGCCCAAAAGUUUCUGGGAGAAGUUGCUUCACCCUGUCACUCUCUUGUUCCUUCCUCUCUCGUUACAGCAAAACAAACAAAAAUCUGUUUCGCUUUCAGGUUAAGGAAACAUUUAAAUCCUCAAAAAAAGAAAACAUUUUUAAUUUAUAUUUAGUGUUCUAGGCCACUACUGAGCAAGUAUUUACCGAGCUUCUAUUUUUGACCCAGCACGCCUCCAAAAGCCUUAGUUUUGGAAACCCUAGACUCAGAAAUGUUGGCUUAUCCAAAAUUAAAAUUUUUCUUUAAAAGCAAUCUAAUAGUACAUAUUUUUAAACAUCCGGAAAAUGACUGGAAAAAAACAUAAAACGGUAAUAGGGGAAUUACAGUUUCUUCCUUCUUUAUGUUAACACUCUUUAACAAUGUAAUUCUAUUGCUUUCCUACCAAACUGUUAAUACAGUACAAUUUUUAAAAGAACAUAUUAAGUCACAAAGGGAGGCUUGUUUGAAUUCCCAGUUUUGAGUUGCCUGCUGAACAUCUAGACCCUCAAAGGGGCAAUGCUUUCUGUGAUCUCUUUGUUAAAGGCAUCUGUGUCCCCAGCAGUCACCCAGAUUGAACUCCUAUGUCUUUGAUUGUUUUUGUUUCGACAAACCCCCUCUUCGGUGCAGUUUCCACCAAGUGCUUUUUCCAUUUAUUUCCACUGCAGGUACCUGGUGGCUCUCCUCACCUCUUUCCGUGGUUAGUGUAAUUGGCCUGGUACCUUCCUCCCUUCCCCAGACACAGCUCACCUACAUUCAUCUCUCUGAAACACAGACCACAAAGCAUGUUAUGACUUAGCCCGAGAAUCUUCAGUGCCAGGAUCAUAGAACUCAAUUUGGGUUUCUCAGCUUGACCAUUUCAAAAGGGAGAAUCUAAAUGGUUCAUCUCAGCUUAUAAAAGGGUUCCCUUUGGGGAGGGAGAGAGCAAAAGAGGGGCUGAGCACACACCAAAAAACAAACUGAUGGAUUUCUGGUUGAAGGAAAUUCUCCAAGAAGGGGUGAAAGGAGGUUACGAUUGACCUUCUUGUUUCAAUGUAUGUAAAGUAUUGAAA